This 75-nucleotide transfer RNA is filed under the name Bacteroidota bacterium. RNAcentral describes it as "Bacteroidetes bacterium (hot springs metagenome) tRNA-Val". It matches the Rfam family "tRNA". Rfam says of the family: Transfer RNA (tRNA) molecules are approximately 80 nucleotides in length. Their secondary structure includes four short double-helical elements and three loops (D, anti-codon, and T loops). Lineage: Bacteria; Pseudomonadati; Bacteroidota. The record is from RNAcentral.
GAGUCUUUAGCUCAGUUGGUUUAGAGCGCCUGCUUGACAGGCAGGAGGUCGGCAGUUCAACUCUGCCAAGACUCA